RNAcentral lists this unclassified non-coding RNA (305 nucleotides) under uncultured fungus. Its description in RNAcentral is "sequence contains ITS1". The record is from RNAcentral. Lineage: Eukaryota; Fungi.
UUUAAGUUUUCUUUAUUUAAUCAGAUACCGCAUAUGGGAAGAGAGUAGUAGUAUAUCCCCGGCGGCGGCUAGCGCUACGCCGAGGCAACAAUAGGUAAUAAUCCACCGGGUCUGUAGGUACCCCCGGACCCCCCCCCACCGGACAUGUUUUCGACCUUCCGCAGGCCCUGCUCCUCUAAGCUCCGCCUAGGGCCCUAGACGGAGCCAAGGAGCCCAGGACGACAAUUAUAACACAUCUAUAGCCCUGGGGAGGCGGCGCCGGGGUAACAAUACUAAUGAUCCCUCCGCUGGUUCACCAACGGAGA